GUGAUUCUCCACCACUUUAUGUAUCCAAAUCAAGCUUCUUACAAAGUGAUUAAUCCUGGCUUGAUUGGAACGACAAAGAAGCUGUCCUAUUCCCAAACUGCGAAGCUGGAAUCACCUGAUUUGAAAGUGGGAUAACUUCUUCAUCCCAGCUCUUAUGAGAUUUAUUCAACUUCCUAGUGAUUCUCCAAAACUUUAUGUAUCUAAAUCAGGCUUCUUACAAAAUGAUUCAUCCUGGUUUGAUUGGAACAACGAAGAUACUGUCCUAUUCCCAAACUGUGAAACUGGAAUCACCUGAUUUGAAUGUGGGAUAACUUCUUCAUCCCUGCUCCUAUGAGAUUUAUUCAACUUCCUGGUGAUUAUCCAACACUUUAUGUAUCCAAAUCAAGCUUCUUACAAAGUGAUUCAUCCUGGUUUAAUUGGAACGACGAAGAAGAUGUCCUAUUCCCAAACUGGGAAACUAGAAUCACCUGAUUUGAAAGUGGGAUAACUUCUUCAUCCCAACUCCGUGGAAUCACUUGAUUUGAAAGUGGGAUAACUUCUUUAUCCUAAGUCCUAUGAGAUUUAUUCAAAUUCCUGGUGAUUCUUCACCAAUUUAUGUAUCCAAAUCAAGAUUCUUACAAAGUUAUUCAUCCUGGUUUGAUUGGAAUGAUGAAGAAGUUGUUCUAUUCUCAAACUGCAAAACUGGAAUCACCUGAUUUGAAAGUGGGGUAACUUCUUCAUCCCAACUCCUAUGCGGUUUAUUCAACUUCCUGGUAAUUCUCCAACACUUUAUGUAUCCAAAUCAAGCUUCUUACAAACUUAUUCAUCCUGGUUUGAUUGCAACGACUAAGAAGCUGUCCUAUUCCCAAACUGCGAAACUGGAAAUACCUGAUUUGAAAGUGGGAUAACUUCUUCAUCCCAGCUCCUAUGUGAUUUAUUCAACUUCCUGGUGGUUCUCCACCACUUUAUGUAUCCAAAUCAAGAUUCUUACAAAGUGAUUCAUCCUGGUUUGAUUGGAACGACGAAGAAGCUGUCCUAUUCCCAAACUGGGAAACUGCAAUCUCAUGAUUUAAAAGUGGGAUAACUUCUUCUUGCCAACUCCUAUGAGGUUUAUUCAAGUUCCUGGUGAUUCUCCACCACUUUAUGUAUCCAAAUCAAGAUUCUCACAAAGUGAUUCAUCCUUGUUUGAUUGGAACGAUGAAGAAGCUGUGCUAUUCCCAAACUAGGAAACUGGAAUCACCUUAUUUGAAAGUGGGAUAACUUCUUCAUCCCAACUCCUAUGAGAUUUAUUCAACUUGCUGGUGAUUCUCCACCACUUUAUGUAUCCAAUUCAAGCUUCUCACAAAGUGAUUCAUCCUGGUUUGAUUGGAACGACGAAGAAGCUGUCCUAUUCCCAAACUGGGAAACUGGAAUCACCUUAAUUGAAAGUGGGAUAACUUCUUCAUCCCAACUCCUAUGAGAUUUAUUCAACUUCCUGGUGAUUCUCCACCAUUUUAUGUAUCGAAAUCAAGCUUCUGACAAAGUGAUUCAUCCUGGUUUUAUUGGAACGACGAAGAAGCUGUUCCCAAACUGGGAAUCUGGAAUCACAUGAUUUGAAAGUGGGAUAACUUCUUCAUCCCAACUCUUAUGAGAUUUAUUCAACUUCCUGAUGAUUCUCCACCACUUUAUGUAUCCAAAUCAAACUUCUCAUAAAGUAUUUCAUCCUGGUUUGAUUGGAACGACGAAGAAGCUGUGAUAUUCCACAACUGGGAAACUGGAAUCACCUGAUUUGAAAGUGGGAUAACUUCUUCAUCCCAACUCCUAUGAGAUUUAUUCAACUUGCUGGUGAUUCUCCACCACUUUAUGUAUCCAAAUCAAGCUUCUGACAAAGUGAUUAAUCCUAUUUUGAUUGGAACGACGAAGAAGCUGUGCUAUUCACAAACUGGGAAACUGGAAUCACUUUAAUUGAAAGUGGGAUAACUUCUUCAUCCCAACUCCUAUGAGAUUUAUUCAACUUCCUGGUGAUUCUCGACCACUUUAUCAAUCCAAUUCAAGCUUCUCACAAAGUGAUUCAUCCUGGUUUGCAUGGAACGACGAAGAAGCUGUCCUAUUCCCAAACUGGGAAACUGGAAUCACCUUAUUUGAAAGUGGGAAAACUUCUUCAUCCCAACUCCUAUGAGCUUUAUUCAAGUUCCUGGUGAUUCUCCACCACUUUAUGUAUCCAAAUCAAGCUUCACACAAAGUGAUUCUUCCUGGUUUGAUUGGAACGGAAGAAGCCGUGCUAUUCCCAAACUGGGAAACUGGAAUCACAUGAUUUGAAAGUGGGAUAACUUCUUGUUGCCAACUCCUAUGAGGUUUAUUCAAGUUCCUGGUGAUUCUCAACCACUUUAUGUAUGCAAAUCAAGCUUCUCACAAAUUGAUUCAUCCUUGUUUGAUUGGAACGACGAAGAAGCUGUGCUAUUCCCAAACUGGGAAACUGGAUUCACCUGAUUUGAAAGUGGGAUAACUUGUUCAUCCCAACUACUAUGAGAUUUAUUCAACUUCCAGGUGAUUCUCCACCACUUUAUGUAUCCAAAUAAAGCUUCUCACAAAGUGAUUCAUCCUGGUUUGAUUGGAACAACGAAGAAGCUGUCUUAUUCCCAAACUGGGAAACUGGAAUCACCUGAUUUGAAAGUGGGAUAACUUCUUCAUCCCAACUCCUAUGAGAUUUAUUCAACUUCAUGGUGAUUCUCCACCACUUUAUGUAUCGAAAUCAAGCUUCUGACAAUGUGAUUCAUCCUGGUUUGAUUGGAACGACGAAGAAGAUGUGCUAUUCCCAAACUGGGAAUCUGGAAUCACAUGAUUUGAAAGUGGGAUAACUUUUUCUUGCCAACUCCUAUGAGGUUUAUUCAAGUUCCUGGUGAUUCUCCACCACUUUAUGUAUCCAAAUAAAGCUUCUGACAAAGUGAUUAAUCCUGGUUUGAUUGGAACGACGAAGAAGCUCUGCUAUUACCAAACUGGGAAACUGGAAUCACAUGAUUUGAAAGUUGGAUAACUUCUUCUUGCGAACUCCUAUGAGAUUUAUUCAACUUCCUGGUGAUUAUCCACCACUUUAUGUAUCCAAUUCAAGCUUCUCACAAAGUGAUUCAUCCUGGUUUGAUUGGAACGACGAAGAAGCUGUGCUAUUCCCAAACAGGGAAACUGGAAUCACAUGAUUUGAAAGUUGGAUAACUUCUUCUUGCGAACUCCUAUGAGAUUUAUUCAACUUGCUGGUGAUUCUCCACCACUUUAUGUAUCGAAAUCAAGCUUCUGACAAAGUGAUUCAUCUUGGUUUGAUUGGAACGACGAAGAAGCUGUGCUAUUCCCAAACUGGGAAACUGGAAUCACCUGAUUUCAAAGUGGGAUAACUUCUUCAUCCCAACUCCUAUGAGAUUUAUUCAACUUCCUGGUGAUUCUCCACCACUUUAUGUAUCCAAUUCAAGCUUCUCACAAAGUGACUCAUCCUG
This 3443-nucleotide long non-coding RNA is filed under the name Brassica napus (rape). RNAcentral's name for it is "long non-coding RNA (BNAP_LNC004363)". The record is from RNAcentral. Lineage: Eukaryota; Viridiplantae; Streptophyta; Magnoliopsida; Brassicales; Brassicaceae.